Molecule: non-coding RNA, 2812 nt
Organism: Cyanistes caeruleus (blue tit)
Lineage: Eukaryota; Metazoa; Chordata; Aves; Passeriformes; Paridae
Source: RefSeq, a predicted model, not a curated record
AGGUGUCCCUGCUGCAGUCACAGCUGGCCCGAGACCGACAGCACCACCAGCAGAACUACAUUGAGAGCUGUUCAAGGACCAGCCAGGAGCUGUCAGACCUUCACCAGGAGCUGUCCUGCUCCUUUGCAGCUGUGCUCAAGGAGCCCAAAGCUGCUCUUGUGGAAGCAGAGACUUGAAGCUGCAUCAGUCUCUGAAUCUUAACUUGGCAGGGACAUCCUUGGGCCAUCAGUCUCUGGAGAGACAGGCCCUGGAGAAGGCAGGUGCAGCUCUUGUGCACAGAGGAUUUGUGCCCUGCUCAGAAGGCAGUUCCUGUCAACUGGGGCACAGAAAUCCUCCCUAGGACACAGACAAACACUAUCAAAGAUGAGGGCAAAAAACACCUGCCAAAGCUCUUCCAAGCAGACCCAUUUGGUUCUUGAAGGUCUGUUCCUAGUGAGGAAUCUUUGAUGUAAGCAGCAGGAUUUUUCUUCUGCCUAGAAGACCUAGUGAUAUAUUCGCAAACAGAGAGCAGAGCAGGAAAAACAUGCACUUGUGGCUGUCUCAGGAUUCUUAAUCCAUUUUAUGAGCUGACGCUGCUCUUGGCCGCCCCGGAGCUCUGGGCUGGCUCCACAGUGCCCAGGGUCCAAUGGGAGCUCGCGGAGGGAGGGGUAAGGGGAGGAGGUUACAAUACCAGGGACCAAUGGGGAUACAAAGAAGGCGGGAAUACAACAUAACAACCAAUAGUGUUUUGAGGAAGGGAUGACAUACAUGGAAGGAGCUGGAAGGAGAGGUGGGGUUUACAGGGAUGGAUGGGGAGCUGGGGCAGGGUAAAGGUGAUUGACGGGGAACAUUCAGAAAAACUGGGAGGGGUUUACAUGACAGACAAAUGGAACCAACCAAAGCAGUAAAUGGGAGACAACCAGGAACAUAUCAAACAGACGAAAUACUAACAAUUUUAACAGAACUGAAUAAACAUACUACAACAAUGAGCCUUAAACACUGCAGCUCUAGGCAUUUCUGUGUAGGAAUUUGAAAAGUCCCUGAAACACCAUUUUUCCUCCUCAGGUGGCUGUCCUAAAGGCAAAGCUUUACUUUCCGUGAAUAUUUAUAAACACCAAGAACCUUUUUAGGAUUUUUCUUACAUCUCCCCUUGGUCAGAGAAGACAGGAGAAUUCCUGUGACUCAGGAACUAAUCGCAUCCCAGAAGAGCAUGUGGGUCUUGAGAAUGCUGAGCCUUAAAACUGGUGCUGCCUGGAGCAGCAACUUGGAACUCAUGUUAUGAGCCAGGUCCCUGCCCAGCUGCCCAGCUUGGGCUUGGACCUUGUGACGGCCAACAGCACUUUGAUCGUGUGCUAGUGACCCUGCAAAGGCCAAGAACGUUUGAAUAUUUGGGUUAGGACCCGGCAAAGGCCAAAAGCCUUUGGACACUGGGGUUAAACCCUGCGAAGGCCAAGGGCCUUUGGACACUGCACUUUGGACACUGUUUGUGCCAAGGAGCGGAUGGACACGCGACGGGGAGCUCGAGGUCUUUCUCACCAGGGACAAUCCUCCCGAGCCCCUGAGUUGCUGUGAAAACAUUGAGAAGUCCAGGGAAAAGCUGCAGCAAUGCAUGGGAAUCCCAGAGCCAGGAGCCUUGUGGCUGCGUCAAAGGAACACCGAGCAGCAGAAGGAAACGUCACCCCAGGUGGAAAAGGCCCAGCAGCAGGACAGGAUGGAGGUUUCCCAGGAGCAAGAGUCAUCGAGCAGGGCUCUGGAGCAGCUGCACCAGCAAUCCUCUGGCCAAGGGCAACCACUGGCCCAGGUGCACAGAGAGAAGGAGCUGCUGGGCCAGGAGAAGGCUGCCCUUAAGGGACGACUGACAGCUAUGGAGCAGCAGCGACAAGAGCUAGCAAGCAGAUGGCAGAGACCAGGUCAGCAAAGGAGAGCCUGGAAUCCAGCCUGUCUGCUGCUCAGCAGCAGAUAUCUCAGCUGGAGAUGAGCAGGAACCAUCUGGAGGCUCAAGUGCUCAGAGUCACACAGGCCAAGGCAGUGGUAGAAGGCAAGUGAACGUGAAAGGCACCGUGCUAAGAUGCUGGAACAAUGGCAAGAAGAGAAGGCAAAGAGAGAGCGGGAACACGAGAAGGUGCUGCUUGAGCUGAGGCAGAAAGUUGCCACCCUGCAGGCCCAACAACAAGACGAACAAACUAGAUUUGAAAAAGCCAAGCGACAGGUGCUGCAGGAAGAGCAGAAUGAGAAGAGGGCUUUAACAGAGACACUGCUCCAAACUCGGGGACAGCUCAGCCAAGUGUGCCAGCAGGUCCAGCAGCUCAGGCAGGAGGUGAAAGAGCAGCAAGAGAAGGGACAGACCAUCAAGGCAAAGCUGCAAGCUGAGCUGCAGGAAGCUCACAAUGAAAUGCUGGCAGUGCAGAGGAGGCACAAGGAAGAACUUCAGGGCAUCAGAGAGAGGAGAUGAAUGUCCUCCUUGAGCAGAGGGAUGCUCUACAAAAGCAGGUGGAAGAGUUGACAUCUCAGCUGGCAGCCUCCCGAGAGUUCCUGGAAAGCAGAGUCCAGAGAGCCCAGCAAUAUGUGAGCGAGGCCCAGGCACAGUCAAGGCAGAAGCAAUUGGAGGCUGAACACAUCCAGAAGAGGCUGGAGGAGGCAGAACAUCAGAAGAAGGAGCUCCAAGUGAAGCUGCAGAAACUGGAGAGGGAAUGGAGUGAAUGCAAAGAAGUGGCACUGGAAAAUUUUGAAUUGCAGGCUUCCGUGAAUGUCCUAGAGAGGGAAAGAGACAGGUAAAUGAAAGCCUGUGGGACUCUGCAAUGUGGUGAAUGCAUUCCCUCUUUGCCAUCUUUGC